ACCUGCCUGGCUCAGUUGGUAGAGUAUGCGACUCUUGAUCUCAGGGUCAUGAGUUCAAGCCCCAUGUUGGGCA
RNAcentral lists this transfer RNA (73 nucleotides) under Ailuropoda melanoleuca (giant panda). It matches the Rfam family "tRNA". Rfam says of the family: Transfer RNA (tRNA) molecules are approximately 80 nucleotides in length. Their secondary structure includes four short double-helical elements and three loops (D, anti-codon, and T loops). Further hydrogen bonds mediate the characteristic L-shaped molecular structure. tRNAs have two regions of fundamental functional importance: the anti-codon, which is responsible for specific mRNA codon recognition, and the 3' end, to which the tRNAs corresponding amino acid is attached (by aminoacyl-tRNA synthetases). tRNAs cope with the degeneracy of the genetic code in two manners: having more than one tRNA (with a specific anti-codon) for a particular amino acid; and 'wobble' base-pairing, i.e. permitting non-standard base-pairing at the 3rd anti-codon position. The record is from Rfam by way of RNAcentral. Lineage: Eukaryota; Metazoa; Chordata; Mammalia; Carnivora; Ursidae.